This 2923-nucleotide ribosomal RNA is filed under the name Klebsiella pneumoniae. Its description in RNAcentral is "bacterial LSU rRNA". It matches the Rfam family "Bacterial large subunit ribosomal RNA". The record is from RNAcentral. Lineage: Bacteria; Pseudomonadati; Pseudomonadota; Gammaproteobacteria; Enterobacterales; Enterobacteriaceae.
GGGUUGUGAGGUUAAGCGACUAAGCGUACACGGUGGAUGCCCUGGCAGUCAGAGGCGAUGAAGGACGUGCUAAUCUGCGAAAAGCGUCGGUAAGGUGAUAUGAACCGUUAUAACCGGCGAUGUCCGAAUGGGGAAACCCAGUGUGAUUCGUCACACUAUCGUUAACUGAAUACAUAGGUUAACGAGGCGAACCGGGGGAACUGAAACAUCUAAGUACCCCGAGGAAAAGAAAUCAACCGAGAUUCCCCCAGUAGCGGCGAGCGAACGGGGAGCAGCCCAGAGUCUGAAUCAGCUUGUGUGUUAGUGGAACGGUCUGGAAAGUCCGACGGUACAGGGUGAUAGUCCCGUACACCAAAAUGCACAGGUUGUGAACUCGAAGAGUAGGGCGGGACACGUGGUAUCCUGUCUGAAUAUGGGGGGACCAUCCUCCAAGGCUAAAUACUCCUGACUGACCGAUAGUGAACCAGUACCGUGAGGGAAAGGCGAAAAGAACCCCGGCGAGGGGAGUGAAAAAGAACCUGAAACCGUGUACGUACAAGCAGUGGGAGCACCUUCGGGUGUGACUGCGUACCUUUUGUAUAAUGGGUCAGCGACUUAUAUUCUGUAGCAAGGUUAACCGUAUAGGGGAGCCGCAGGGAAACCGAGUCUUAACUGGGCGUUAAGUUGCAGGGUAUAGACCCGAAACCCGGUGAUCUAGCCAUGGGCAGGUUGAAGGUUGGGUAACACUAACUGGAGGACCGAACCGACUAAUGUUGAAAAAUUAGCGGAUGACUUGUGGCUGGGGGUGAAAGGCCAAUCAAACCGGGAGAUAGCUGGUUCUCCCCGAAAGCUAUUUAGGUAGCGCCUCGUGAACUCAUCUUCGGGGGUAGAGCACUGUUUCGGCUAGGGGGUCAUCCCGACUUACCAACCCGAUGCAAACUACGAAUACCGAAGAAUGUUAUCACGGGAGACACACGGCGGGUGCUAACGUCCGUCGUGAAGAGGGAAACAACCCAGACCGCCAGCUAAGGUCCCAAAGUCAUGGUUAAGUGGGAAACGAUGUGGGAAGGCACAGACAGCCAGGAUGUUGGCUUAGAAGCAGCCAUCAUUUAAAGAAAGCGUAAUAGCUCACUGGUCGAGUCGGCCUGCGCGGAAGAUGUAACGGGGCUAAACCAUGCACCGAAGCUGCGGCAGCGACACUAUGUGUUGUUGGGUAGGGGAGCGUUCUGUAAGCCUGCGAAGGUGUGCUGUGAGGCAUGCUGGAGGUAUCAGAAGUGCGAAUGCUGACAUAAGUAACGAUAAAGCGGGUGAAAAGCCCGCUCGCCGGAAGACCAAGGGUUCCUGUCCAACGUUAAUCGGGGCAGGGUGAGUCGACCCCUAAGGCGAGGCCGAAAGGCGUAGUCGAUGGGAAACAGGUUAAUAUUCCUGUACUUGGUGUUACUGCGAAGGGGGGACGGAGAAGGCUAUGUUAGCCGGGCGACGGUUGUCCCGGUUUAAGCAUGUAGGCUGGUUGUCCAGGCAAAUCCGGAUAAUCAAGGCUGAGGUGUGAUGACGAGGCACUACGGUGCUGAAGUAACAAAUGCCCUGCUUCCAGGAAAAGCCUCUAAGCAUCAGGUAACAUUAAAUCGUACCCCAAACCGACACAGGUGGUCAGGUAGAGAAUACCAAGGCGCUUGAGAGAACUCGGGUGAAGGAACUAGGCAAAAUGGUGCCGUAACUUCGGGAGAAGGCACGCUGGUGUGUAGGUGAAGUCCCUGCGGAUGGAGCUGAGACCAGUCGAAGAUACCAGCUGGCUGCAACUGUUUAUUAAAAACACAGCACUGUGCAAACACGAAAGUGGACGUAUACGGUGUGACGCCUGCCCGGUGCCGGAAGGUUAAUUGAUGGGGUUAUCCGUAAGGAGAAGCUCUUGAUCGAAGCCCCGGUAAACGGCGGCCGUAACUAUAACGGUCCUAAGGUAGCGAAAUUCCUUGUCGGGUAAGUUCCGACCUGCACGAAUGGCGUAAUGAUGGCCAGGCUGUCUCCACCCGAGACUCAGUGAAAUUGAACUCGCUGUGAAGAUGCAGUGUACCCGCGGCAAGACGGAAAGACCCCGUGAACCUUUACUAUAGCUUGACACUGAACAUUGAGCCUUGAUGUGUAGGAUAGGUGGGAGGCUUUGAAGCGUGGACGCCAGUCUGCGUGGAGCCAACCUUGAAAUACCACCCUUUAAUGUUUGAUGUUCUAACGUUGGCCCCUUACCGGGGUUGCGGACAGUGUCUGGUGGGUAGUUUGACUGGGGCGGUCUCCUCCCAAAGCGUAACGGAGGAGCACGAAGGUUAGCUAAUCCUGGUCGGACAUCAGGAGGUUAGUGCAAUGGCAUAAGCUAGCUUGACUGCGAGCGUGACGGCGCGAGCAGGUGCGAAAGCAGGUCAUAGUGAUCCGGUGGUUCUGAAUGGAAGGGCCAUCGCUCAACGGAUAAAAGGUACUCCGGGGAUAACAGGCUGAUACCGCCCAAGAGUUCAUAUCGACGGCGGUGUUUGGCACCUCGAUGUCGGCUCAUCACAUCCUGGGGCUGAAGUAGGUCCCAAGGGUAUGGCUGUUCGCCAUUUAAAGUGGUACGCGAGCUGGGUUUAGAACGUCGUGAGACAGUUCGGUCCCUAUCUGCCGUGGGCGCUGGAGAAUUGAGGGGGGCUGCUCCUAGUACGAGAGGACCGGAGUGGACGCAUCACUGGUGUUCGGGUUGUCAUGCCAAUGGCACUGCCCGGUAGCUAAAUGCGGAAGAGAUAAGUGCUGAAAGCAUCUAAGCACGAAACUUGCCCCGAGAUGAGUUCUCCCUGAGACUUUAAGUCUCCUGAAGGAACGUUAAAGACGAUGACGUUGAUAGGCCGGGUGUGUAAGCGCAGCGAUGCGUUGAGCUAACCGGUACUAAUGAACCGUGAGGCUUAACCUUACAACGCCGAAG